RNAcentral lists this ribosomal RNA (468 nucleotides) under uncultured bacterium. RNAcentral's name for it is "partial 16S ribosomal RNA". It matches the Rfam family "Bacterial small subunit ribosomal RNA", at positions 28 to 507 of the family's 1533-position model. The record is from RNAcentral.
GACGAACGCUGGCGGCGUGCUUAACGCAUGCAAGUCGAACGGAAAGGCCCUGCUUUUGUGGGGCGCUCGAGUGGCGAACGGGUGAGUAACACGUGAGUAACCUGCCCUUGACUUUGGGAUAACUUCAGGAAACUGGGGCUAAUACCGGAUAGGAGCUCCUGCUGCAUGGUGGGGGUUGGAAAGUUUCGGCGGUUGGGGAUGGACUCGCGGCUUAUCAGCUUGUUGGUGGGGUAGUGGCUUACCAAGGCUUUGACGGGUAGCCGGCCUGAGAGGGUGACCGGCCACAUUGGGACUGAGAUACGGCCCAGACUCCUACGGGAGGCAGCAGUGGGGAAUAUUGCACAAUGGGCGGAAGCCUGAUGCAGCAACGCCGCGUGCGGGAUGACGGCCUUCGGGUUGUAAACCGCUUUCGCCUGUGACGAAGCGUGAGUGACGGUAAUGGGUAAAGAAGCACCGGCUAACUACGUG